Molecule: ribosomal RNA, 485 nt
Filed under: uncultured bacterium
Lineage: Bacteria
Description: bacterial SSU rRNA
Rfam family: Bacterial small subunit ribosomal RNA
Source: RNAcentral
GAUGAACGCUAGCGGCAGGCCUAACACAUGCAAGUCGAGGGGUAGAACACUUCGGUGUUUGAGACCGGCGCACGGGUGCGUAACGCGUAUGCAAUCUACCUUGUACAGAGGGAUAGCCCAGAGAAAUUUGGAUUAAUACCUCAUAGUGUUAUCGAAUGGCAUCGUUUGAUAACUAAAGUUCCAACGGUACAAGAUGAGCAUGCGUCCCAUUAGUUAGUUGGUAAGGUAACGGCUUACCAAGACAAUGAUGGGUAGGGGUCCUGAGAGGGAGAUCCCCCACACUGGUACUGAGACACGGACCAGACUCCUACGGGAGGCAGCAGUGAGGAAUAUUGGACAAUGGGCGCAAGCCUGAUCCAGCCAUGCCGCGUGCAGGAUGACUGCCCUAUGGGUUGUAAACUGCUUUUAUACAGGAAGAAACACUGCUACGAGUAGCAGCUUGACGGUACUGUAGGAAUAAGGAUCGGCUAACUCCGUGCCAGCAC